UGAAGGCCGCGCCUCCGGCUGGCCUAGGUAGGAUCCGUCGACCCGUCGGCGGCGCACUACCGGCCCGUUCCGUCAGCAGCGUCUGUGGAGCGGAGCAAGAGCGUACACGUUGGGACCCGAAAGAUGGUGAACUAUGCCUGAGUAGGAUGAAGCCAGAGGAAACUCUGGUGGAGGUCCGUAGCGAUUCUGACGUGCAAAUCGAUCGUCAAACUUGGGUAUAGGGGCGAAAGACUAAUCGAACCAUCUAGUAGCUGGUUCCCUCCGAAGUUUCCCUCAGGAUAGCUGGCACUGGUUACGCAGUUUUAUCCGGUAAAGCGAAUGAUUGGAGCGUUUUGGGGACGAAACGACCUCAACCUACUCUCAAACUUUAAAUGGGUAAGAAGUCCGUCUCGCUCG
Molecule: ribosomal RNA, 396 nt
Filed under: Ledella ultima
Lineage: Eukaryota; Metazoa; Mollusca; Bivalvia; Nuculanida sp.; Nuculanidae
Description: eukaryotic LSU rRNA
Rfam family: Eukaryotic large subunit ribosomal RNA
Source: RNAcentral